RNAcentral lists this ribosomal RNA (512 nucleotides) under uncultured bacterium. RNAcentral's name for it is "bacterial SSU rRNA". It matches the Rfam family "Bacterial small subunit ribosomal RNA", at positions 791 to 1304 of the family's 1533-position model. The record is from RNAcentral.
UAGUCCACGCCGUAAACGAUGGACACUUGGUGUUGGAGGUAUUGACCCCUUCAGUGCCGGAGCUAACGCGUUAAGUGUCCCGCCUGGGGAGUACGGUCGCAAGAUUAAAACUCAAAGAAAUUGACGGGGGCCCGCACAAGCGGUGGAGCAUGUGGUUUAAUUCGAUGCAACGCGAAGAACCUCACCUGGGCUCAACUACUAGUGGAAGGUUUCUAGAGAUAGAAUCCGUCUUCGGACUGCUAGAUAGGUGCUGCAUGGCUGUCGUCAGCUCGUGUCGUGAGAUGUUGGGUUAAGUCCCGCAACGAGCGCAACCCUUGCCUUUAGUUGCCAGCAUUCAGUUGGGCACUCUAGAGGGGCUGCCGGUGUUAAACCGGAGGAAGGUGGGGAUGACGUCAAGUCCUCAUGGCCCUUAUGUCCAGGGCUACACACGUGCUACAAUGGCGUAUACAAAGGGUUGCCAAGCCGCGAGGUGGAGCUAAUCUCAGAAAAUACGUCUAAGUUCGGAUUGAAGU